Molecule: ribosomal RNA, 499 nt
Filed under: uncultured bacterium
Lineage: Bacteria
Description: partial 16S ribosomal RNA
Rfam family: Bacterial small subunit ribosomal RNA
Source: RNAcentral
AUUGAACGCUGGCGGCAUGCCUUACACAUGCAAGUCGAACGGCAGCGGGGACUUCGGUCCGCCGGCGAGUGGCGAACGGGUGAGUAAUGUAUCGGAACGUACCAUUGAGUGGGGGAUAACGUAGCAAAAGUUACGCUAAUACCGCAUAUUCUCUCCGGAGGAAAGCAGGGGACCGCAAGGCCUUGCGCUCUUUGAGCGGCCGAUAUCAGAUAGCUAGUUGGGGGGGUAAAAGCUCACCAAGGCGACGAUCUGUAGCGGGUCUGAGAGGAUGAUCCGCCACACUGGAACUGAGGCACGGUCCAGACUCCUACGGGAGGCAGCAGUGGGGAAUUUUGGACAAUGGGGGCAACCCUGAUCCAGCCAUGCCGCGUGAGUGAAGAAGGCCUUCGGGUUGUAAAGCUCUUUCGGCCGGGAAAAAAUCGCAUGGGUUAAUACCCUGUGUGGAUGAUGGUACCGGAAUAAGAAGCACCGGCUAACUACGUGCCAGCCGCCGCAGUAA